UUUGGAGUAGACCAAUAGGUAGGUCAUAAAUUUUUGAUAUUUAAGAUUAAGUGUUCGAAUCACUUUUCCAAAA
This 73-nucleotide transfer RNA is filed under the name Esteya vermicola. RNAcentral describes it as "tRNA-Gln". It matches the Rfam family "tRNA". Rfam says of the family: Transfer RNA (tRNA) molecules are approximately 80 nucleotides in length. Their secondary structure includes four short double-helical elements and three loops (D, anti-codon, and T loops). The record is from RNAcentral. Lineage: Eukaryota; Fungi; Ascomycota; Sordariomycetes; Ophiostomatales; Ophiostomataceae.